UCGACCCUCAACCGAGGGUGUCGGACAUCGCGACCCGUUUGCCGUCGAUGCUCAGGUACGCGACGAAGUUCGUAUGCGUCGUCAUUUCGGUGGCGACGCGGCGAUCUCGCGUCACCAAUGCGUCGACGCAGACGGUAGCUUUGCGCGUGGGUAACCGGCGCGGUCCUCGCUCGCGCUCUCGUAGUGCGGGCGGUACUCGCGCCGACACCGGUCAGCGAUGAAUUUUCAGGUCUCUUUCCGACCCGUCUUGAAACACGGACCAAGGAGUCUAGCGUGCGCGCGAGUCGCGGGGUAUUCGAAGUGUCGUAGCCGUUCCGCGGUGAAUGCAUUUCGUAAUGAUACGAAACCCGUAUACGUGCAUUGUGCGAAGGCGUAAUGAAAGUGAAAGGCGGCGCCUCGUGCGCCGCCGGGGGAAGAUGAUGUUCUGUGUACACGUUUCGCGGUCACGCAUGUAUCGCGACCAGACAUCCGCAUUCCCAGGGCGUCCUAUCCGUUCGCCUGUGAUCGGGGCUCGCUUCGGUCGCAGGUGAAUUGGGGCGCA
This 541-nucleotide ribosomal RNA is filed under the name Coccus alpinus. RNAcentral describes it as "partial 28S ribosomal RNA". The record is from RNAcentral. Lineage: Eukaryota; Metazoa; Arthropoda; Insecta; Hemiptera; Coccidae.